GAGUUUGAUCAUGGCUCAGAUUGAACGCUGGCGGCAUGCCUUACACAUGCAAGUCGAACGGCAGCACGGGAGCUUGGCUCCUGGUGGCGAGUGGCGAACGGGUGAGUAAUGCAUCGGAACGUAUCCUGGAGUGGGGGAUAACGUAGCGAAAGUUACGCUAAUACCGCAUAUUCUGUGAGCAGGAAAGCGGGGGACCUUCGGGCCUCGCGCUCUUGGAGCGGCCGAUGUCGGAUUAGCUAGUUGGUGAGGUAAAGGCUCACCAAGGCGACGAUCCGUAGCAGGUCUGAGAGGAUGAUCUGCCACACUGGAACUGAGACACGGUCCAGACUCCUACGGGAGGCAGCAGUGGGAAUUUUGGACAAUGGGGGCAACCCUGAUCCAGCCAUGCCGCGUGAGUGAAGAAGGCCUCGGUUGUAA
Molecule: ribosomal RNA, 417 nt
Filed under: bacterium enrichment culture clone ALO1_GLFRUDD03HBR9B
Lineage: Bacteria
Description: bacterial SSU rRNA
Rfam family: Bacterial small subunit ribosomal RNA
Source: RNAcentral